This is a non-coding RNA of Ictidomys tridecemlineatus (thirteen-lined ground squirrel), 4468 nucleotides long. The record is from RefSeq and is a predicted model, not a curated record. NCBI's taxonomy places the organism in Eukaryota, Metazoa, Chordata, Mammalia, Rodentia, Sciuridae.
UUACCCUCCUCCUACGUCACUUCUCUUCUCCCCUACCUGUGUUGCUGGUACUUCCAAAUAAAUUAUUAGCCCUUACAUCCUGUCUCAGGCUCUGCUUCUUGGAGGAACAUAAGUGACAUCCCUCUCCAUAUUAUAAAAGACUCUGCUCCAAGCUUGGUAUAGAGUCAGCUAAUUGCUGUGGCCCAAUGAGCUUGGCCAGAGUCGUCCCUGCUGUGAAUUUGCUGCUACCGGGCACAUUUAAGGUUCAUAUCCUGAAGCACAUCCAGAGGGUCUUAUAAAAACACUAUGGGGUGGAGAUUGUUAUCCUGUUUAUAAAUUCUUAAGUAAAGAGGGGAGUCAGGUUUAGGAAGUGGAAGGAUGGAGAGGGAAUUCACAGCUCUGGUAUAGGCAUUCCAUUCUAGAGGCUUCCCAUGCUUUAAAAAUGUUUAAUUUUUGAGCUGACCAAAAAGUUGCAAAAGAUGAAGCAUGGCUUAUAUUCCUCACCCCCCCCAUUUCUUCUUCUAGAAUCACAAUAUGAUAGAUACAGAAAUGAAGACAGAGGGCUGGGGUUGUAGCUCAGUGUCAGAGGGCUUGCCUCGCACACGGGAGGAACGGAGUUCGAUCCUGAACUGAGUUUGAUCCUCAGCACCACAUAAACAAGUCAAAUAAAGGUACUGUGCCCAUUUACAACUAAAAAUAUAUUUUUUUAAAAAAAAUGAAGACAGAGUCACCCCUGCCUCUCUCAGGUGCCACAUAUCCGUGUCACUACGGGAGCUCAUUCGAUGCUGGUCCACAAGAUUAUAAUGGGAUCAGAACAGGAGCAUGUGGCUGCCAAAGAGGUGAGAGAAAAGGAAACUGCAGGGGGAGAAAAAGAACACCUGAGGAAAUUCACAGUGAGGGGUUUAGCAGAAGCUUUUGCAGACCUUAACAAGUUCCUUAAAAUGUUUGAAAAUAGGGGCCCUGACACUGACAGGUUUUUGUGGCUAGAGAGGGAAGUUCAUGAGGUAUGAUCUGCUAACAACCAACUCUAUGAUGAAAAGGAAAACAAGCCAAGUAAACCACCCUGGACGUAUUUCCCAAGGGUGACACCUGCCAAGAAGAGUUUAGGCAGGACCUUCAGGAGGGAUUCCAGAAGGGGGCAUCUCUAUGGUAGGACGUGAUAUUUCCAUGCCUGUGGUUCCUCUAAAGACCUCCCACAAGAUGUAAAGAGAGAAGACAGUGAUACUGAUGACCCUGGCUCUGGUAGGCCCAGGCUAAUUUGUGUGUUUGUGUCUUCAUUUUCAACAAAAUAGUAAAAAAAAAAUUAAGAAAAUAGAGAAACGUUUCCAGAAUGAGGAUCUAAAGAAAGUGGUUUCGUACAGCCAUAGAACUGUUCUCCAAACAAAGAGUUUAAAAAGUUCAUAAAGUAAAAAGUUUGGGAAAUCAACUUAUUAUUGAAGAAAAAUCUUGUGUGAAGAAGGAAAAAAAACACCACUUAUUGAAGAAAGAAAAAUUUUAAUUUCAUGUAGCUGAAGCGUGCAGUGUUUAUAAAGUCGACAACAGUGUCCAGUAACUUGCGAGACCUUCACGUUCACUUCCCACUCACUCACUGGUUCACCCAGAACCACCGCCAGUCCUGCAAGCUCCCUUCAGGGGACAUGUAUGUACUCCUGCGCACGUUGCUAGGCACACCCGCAUUUCCUAGCUCUGUCUGAUGAGUGGGCCUAGGAGUGACACCUCAGGGCCAGUGAACACACCAGCAAUCCAGACUUUGGGCUCUAAACACCAUCUAUUCUCCAUGAAAAGGAACCAGGGGUUCCUAAGAGAAACAGUUGAUUCUAGGGCUGAAGAAUGGAAAAUACCAAGAUGUGCUCGGAACAUCUGGAGGGUGGGAAGAAGGAGACAGCCUGGUGGAACGCCACAGUCCACACAACUUGAGCUUCCAAAACCAAGCUGGCACUGGGUCUUAGAUGGGAAGACUGAAUGGAGACAUUUAAAAAUUAGAUUUUUUUUUAAAGAUAAAAAUCACCCUAUGAGAUAGGCAUCAUGCUCAGAAAUUUACAAAAUUCUUGAGGCCACACAGGAGUGAAGAUUCGAAUCCUGGUCUAAAUACACAGAAGGCCACUACGGGCCACGCCUCUGCCAUUGGGUCCAGAAGGAUCCCUCCACACUGGAAAGCCCUGGCUUCUGCGGAGUCCAGCAGCACAGAAGCCCUCGGCCUCUCACUCAGAUGGAGUCUCAGGUCCUGUCGGGGGUCCCGGGGAAGGGAGGGAGUUAGGCUGAGAGGCAGGGGGGCAGCAGAGGGUGGAAACCUGACCUCCCCUCUGAAGCACCCCGCGGUGCCCAGAUGCCUUCCUUGAUAGUAGGGCUCCCCGAUUCCUCCUCAUCCACCCACAUUUCCUGGGGGUUGGUGGAGAGAGUGGACGAUUCCCACACUGCUGUCAGAGUGACCUGGGUGAUGAAUGGCCCCAAACAGCAAGGAAGGGAAGGAGUGGCAUUCCUCUCCUUCCAACUCUCCCUGGGCUCUAGAUAAAUUGCCUCUGUCGCAGCCGGGCCGGGGAGCUGUGAUGUGGUUGGGUGGCUGUGUGCCAGCCUGGCCCUGCCUCCCAGCGUGGGGACUGAUCCUGCUGGCCAGUUUUCAAAAAAAGAAAGAAAGAAGGGAGCAGGGGUCCACUGCUCUUUACGGUUAAAGCCUGUCUCUCCAGGGUCUUGGCCCCUUCACCGCCACCAUGGUAUGCCUUUCUCAUGGAUGAGGAGCCCACCUCUGUGUGGAGGAGGGUCUGUCCUUCGCUGUAUCCACAGCUGAUGCUCAGAUGCAGACUGGGCCAGAGGCAGAGGGAUGGAUGAGAUGAGCUGUCAGAGACGGGAUCCUUCCUGUGCAGGUUUGGAUUACCCGAUGGGUUUUGAGUACUGGCCCUAAAUUAUCAAGAUUUAUCAUGCUCCACUAUUUUAGAACUGAAAAGGGACAGGAAGGGUGGACCCUGAUUUUUCCCACUGUAUCCAGUAGCCUUCCCUAUCUUGGCAGUGGGACCUGGUUAACAUGUCCUGCUGUGUCUGUCUUUCUUCUCAGGGCCCUGGCCUUAAGGCCGUCCCCUCCUCCCUGCCGGAAUGGAGGCAAGGCAUCCUGUUGUCCCCUGCCUCCACGCUCAUUCUCUCUGAUCCAUCUUCUACCAGCAGCUAGGGCAAGGUACACGUCUCCCCCAGGAUCUUCCCUUGGCCCUUCAUCAUGAAGAUGGAAUCUGCCUCUGACUGCAUGUGUGUGGUCUUCCAUGACUCUGCCCUGCCCAGCCUGGCUGACUUCUCCAGCUUUGUCUUUCUCUGAUCAUGCUGAAGCAAACUCUAAUCUUCUUCUUAUUCUGAUAUUUUUUUCUUUUUUUUUUUCAGGACUGGGAUCAAAUCUAGGGCCUAAAUUUGAAUACUAGCAAACACUUUACUGCAGAGCUAUAUCCCCAGCCCUUUUUCUUUUUGAGACAGGGUCUCACUAAAUUGCCCAGUCUGCCCUCACACUUGUGAUCCUCCUGCCUCAGCCUCCUGAGCAGCUGGGUUACAGGUGUACACCACCGCCUCCUGUGAAACUCUAAUGUGGGAGGAUCUGCUUUCUCUUGCCAUUAGUAAGGUGCUUAAACGAGCUCCUGGUUAUCACUAGAGCCUCAGCUUCCUCUAGGAGGCCCUCCCCAGGCUAGAUUAAACGCGGCCUUCCUCUGCCAUCCCACGGAAGCCUCCUGACAUCAUCAUCUGGUGAGCUCAUCAGACUCCCCAUGACUGAGGCUCGCAGGACCUGCCACACACUACCCUUGCAGGCACUCCUUACUGCUGUAAGGAAACGGGACAACAACCGUUCUGGCUUCUUCGAGCUGGAAGCGGGAGGUGUGGGAUCUCGGUGGAAACUCCAAAUAGGAUACCACGGGUUAUCGGUGACGAGUUCUGCAUCCUGCCAGGAUACCAGCUAUGGCCCCCUUCUCUCUCCCAGGAGAAGUCUAUGUUACCCGCUUUUUAAUAAAUUCUGCCUUAUAUGCUUGCCUCAGUGUGCUUUGAAAUUAUCUUUAUCUGAUAAAUCUAUCCAUCCAAGCUUUCUUUUGAUUAAAGUUUUGAGGAUCUUUUUUCCUCACCUUUUGAUUUCAAACCUAUCUGAUCUUUACAAUAAAACGGAGUGUUUACAAUUAAAUUGAGUGUUGCUUUUUUAGUUAAGCUGACAAUCACUGCCUUUUUGUUGGCUUGUUUAAGCCAUUUAAAUUUAAUAUGAUUGUCAAUAUGGUUGGAUUUAAACAUGACAUUUGUUGUUUGUGUAUGUCCCAUCUGUUUUGUUCAUCUGUAUUCUUCUCCUGAAAAAAAAUUUUAAGAUUCCAUUUUAUUUCCAAUACAUGCAUGUGUAUAGUUUUGCUUUAUGAAUUGCUCAAGAGUGGAUAUAUUAACCUAUUGCAGGCUACCUUGAAGUGAUGUUUACUAAUUCACAUGCAAUGCAAGAACUCUUGGCCUUUGUGCUAUAGUUGUUAUAUAUUUAAUUUCUAUG